This 754-nucleotide ribosomal RNA is filed under the name uncultured Fusobacterium sp. Its description in RNAcentral is "bacterial SSU rRNA". It matches the Rfam family "Bacterial small subunit ribosomal RNA", at positions 66 to 848 of the family's 1533-position model. The record is from RNAcentral. Lineage: Bacteria; Fusobacteriati; Fusobacteriota; Fusobacteriia; Fusobacteriales; Fusobacteriaceae.
ACUUGAACUUCGGUUUGGGUGGCGGACGGGUGAGUAACGCGUAAAGAACUUGCCUCACAGUUAGGGACAACAUUUGGAAACGAAUGCUAAUACCUGAUAUUAUGAUUUUAGGGCAUCUUAGGAUUAUGAAAGCUAUAUGCGCUGUGAGAGAGCUUUGCGUCCCAUUAGCUAGUUGGAGAGGUAACGGCUCACCAAGGCGAUGAUGGGUAGCCGGCCUGAGAGGGUGAACGGCCACAAGGGGACUGAGACACGGCCCUUACUCCUACGGGAGGCAGCAGUGGGGAAUAUUGGACAAUGGACCAAAAGUCUGAUCCAGCAAUUCUGUGUGCACGAUGACGUUUUUCGGAAUGUAAAGUGCUUUCAGUUGGGAAGAAAAAAAUGACGGUACCAACAGAAGAAGUGACGGCUAAAUACGUGCCAGCAGCCGCGGUAAUACGUAUGUCACAAGCGUUAUCCGGAUUUAUUGGGCGUAAAGCGCGUCUAGGUGGUUAUGUAAGUCUGAUGUGAAAAUGCAGGGCUCAACUCUGUAUUGCGUUGGAAACUGCAUGACUAGAGUACUGGAGAGGUAAGCGGAACUACAAGUGUAGAGGUGAAAUUCGUAGAUAUUUGUAGGAAUGCCGAUGGGGAAGCCAGCUUACUGGACAGAUACUGACGCUAAAGCGCGAAAGCGUGGGUAGCAAACAGGAUUAGAUACCCUGGUAGUCCACGCCGUAAACGAUGAUUACUAGGUGUUGGGGGUCGAACCUCAGCGCCC